CACGUAGUUAGCCGGUGCUUAUUCUUACGGUACCGUCAUGGGCCCCCUGUAUUAGAAGGAGCUUUUUCGUUUCCGUACAAAAGCAGUUUACAACCCGAAGGCCUUCAUCCUGCACGCGGCAUUGCUGGAUCAGGCUUUCGCCCAUUGUCCAAAAUUCCCCACUGCUGCCUCCCGUAGGAGUCUGGGCCGUGUCUCAGUCCCAGUGUGGCUGGUCGUCCUCUCAGACCAGCUACAGAUCGUCGGCUUGGUAAGCUUUUAUCCCACCAACUACCUAAUCUGCCAUCGGCCGCUCCAAUCGCGCGAGGCCCGAAGGUCCCCCGCUUUCAUCCUCAGAUCGUAUGCGGUAUUAGCUACUCUUUCGAGUAGUUAUCCCCCACGACUGGGCACGUUCCGAUGUAUUACUCACCCGUUCGCCACUCGUCAGCGUCCGAAGACCUGUUACCGUUCGACUUGCAUGUGUAAGGCAUGCCGCCAGCGUUCAAUCUGAGCCAGGAUCAAACUCU
RNAcentral lists this ribosomal RNA (503 nucleotides) under uncultured Delftia sp. RNAcentral describes it as "partial 16S ribosomal RNA". The record is from RNAcentral. Lineage: Bacteria; Pseudomonadati; Pseudomonadota; Betaproteobacteria; Burkholderiales; Comamonadaceae.